RNAcentral lists this ribosomal RNA (251 nucleotides) under uncultured bacterium. Its description in RNAcentral is "partial 16S ribosomal RNA". It matches the Rfam family "Bacterial small subunit ribosomal RNA", at positions 526 to 776 of the family's 1533-position model. The record is from RNAcentral.
CGUAGGGCGCGAGCGUUGUCCGGAUUUAUUGGGCGUAAAGAGCUCGUAGGCGGCUUGUCGCGUCGUCCGUGAAAACCCACAGCUCAACUGUGGGCUUGCGGUCGAUACGGGCAGGCUAGAGUUCGGUAGGGGAGACUGGAAUUCCUGGUGUAGCGGUGAAAUGCGCAGAUAUCAGGAGGAACACCGGUGGCGAAGGCGGGUCUCUGGGCCGAUACUGACGCUGAGGAGCGAAAGCGUGGGGAGCGAACAGG